GAAGAUUCUAAUGGAUGCUCUGAACAAUUAGAGGGCCUCUUCAGCUGCUUUUUCAGUUUGAAGUUAUGAUUGGAGGAGACCUCGAAAUUCAGCUGUGUGCAGUAUUUACAGAGUAGUUCCCCGUUAUCCGCGGUUUUAGUUACCCGUGGUCAACUGCAGGCUGGAAGCGGAUGAUCCUCUUUCUAACCCAUCUUCAGAAGGUCAGUAGUAGCCUAGUGCUAGGUCACAACGCCUACGUCAUUCACCUCACUCCAUCUCAUCACGUAGGCAUUGUAUCAUCUCACAUCACCACAAGAAGAAGGAGAGCAAAAGGAAGUAUGAAAUAGUCACAGUCUCAGGGAGAAAAUAGUGUUUCUUUAGCGGAACACUGGUGCCCACUGAACAACUGUUACAAAGGAAAUGUAGCUCCUACAAUGAGGGAAAUUUUUCCAAGCCUACUUUCCAAAGGUAUCAACUGGUCAUGUUCUUCCCAACGUGUAUUCUGGUUUAGGGUAAAAUGGAUCCCAGUGGAGUCUGAGAGAAUGGAUCAGUUCAACCCCUCUAAGAGCUUGACCUCUAAGCAUAGAGGUGGAGCCGACUGCUUUCCCAUCCAUCAGUUCUCUUUCAACCUGAUGUGGAGAUGAUGACAAAAAGAAUGGACUUUAACAAGAAGUAUUUAACAUUCAAAGCCAGCCUCCUGACUUGACACUAUCCUCCUAGAUUUGGAGGCUUUUUGUUUUCAUAUCUUCAGUGACACCUAGGAAAGUGCUUAACAUGUAUGUAAUGCUUAAUAAAGAUUUGCUUAAAAUUUUUUUGUUUUUAGUGUGGUAAAAUAUACAUAACAUAAAUUUACCAUUUUAAUCAUUUUAAGUGUACUAUUUAGGGGUAUUAAGUACACUCACAAUGUUGUACAACCAUUACCACUAGCCAUUUCCAGAGCUUUUUCAUCAUCGCAAACAGAAACUUUGUACACGUUACACAAUAGCUCCCCCUUCUCCCUCCAGCCCUGGUAAUCUCUAGUCUACUUUCCGUCUCUAUGAGUUUGCCUCUUGUAGGUACUUUAUACAAGUG
RNAcentral lists this long non-coding RNA (1050 nucleotides) under Equus caballus (horse). Its description in RNAcentral is "lncRNA (ENSECAG00000033135.3)". The record is from RNAcentral. Lineage: Eukaryota; Metazoa; Chordata; Mammalia; Perissodactyla; Equidae.